AUAAGCUAAAUAAGGGCGUAUGGGGAAUGCCUAGGCUCUCAGAGGCGAAGAAGGACGUGAUAAGCUGCGAAAAGCUGCGGGGAUUGGCACAUACAAAUUGAUCCGCAGAUAUCCGAAUGGGGCAACCCACUAUACUGAAGGUAUAGUAUCCGCAAGGAGGCAAACCGGGGAACUGAAACAUCUAAGUACCCGGAGGAAGAGAAAACAAAAGUGAUUCCGAUAGUAGCGGCGAGCGAACUCGGAUUAGCCCAAACCGGAAUUGUUACGGCAGUUCCGGGGUUGUAGGACCACGACAUUUUAUGCAUAAUGAAUUAGAACACUUUGGAAAGAGUGCCAUAGACGGUGAUAGCCCGGUAUAGGUAAAGAAUGUUAUAGAUAGUGGUAUCCUGAGUAGUGCGGGGCACGUGAAACCUGUAUGAAUCUGGCGGGACCAUCCGCUAAGGCUAAAUACUCCUGAGAGACCGAUAGUGAACCAGUACCGUGAGGGAAAGUGAAAAGAACCCUGAACAAGGGAGUGAAAUAGAUCCUGAAACCAUACGCCUACAAGCGGUCGGAGCGGCGCAAGCUGUGACGGCGUGCCUUUUGCAUAAUGAGCCUACGAGUUACUUUAUCUAGCAAGGUUAAGAUGUUCAGCAUCGGAUCCGUAGCGAAAGCGAGUCUGAAUAGGGCGCAUAAGUUAGGUUGAGUAGACGCGAAACCGUGUGAUCUACCCUUGGGCAGGUUGAAGCUGUGGUAACACAUAGUGGAGGACCGAACCCGUUGACGUUGAAAAGUCUUGGGAUGACCUGAGGGUAGGGGUGAAAGGCCAAUCAAACUCGGAAAUAGCUCGUACUCCCCGAAAUGCAUUUAGGUGCAGCGUUGAUUUAUAGUUUUAUAGAGGUAGAGCUACUGAUUGGAUGCGGGGGCUUCACCGCCUACCAAUUCCUGACAAACUCCGAAUGCUAUAAAAUGUUGAUCAGCAGUGAGGGCAUGGGUGCUAAGGUCCAUGUCCGAGAGGGAAAGAACCCAGACCAUCAGCUAAGGUCCCCAAAUGUAUGUUAAGUUGAAAAAACGCGGUUGAACUGCCCAGACAGCUAGGAUGUUGGCUUGGAAGCAGCCAUUCAUUUAAAGAGUGCGUAACAGCUCACUAGUCGAGCGGUUCGGCAUGGAUAAUAAUCGGGCAUAAACAUACUACCGAAGCUAUGGAUUUGACAUUAAUUUGUCAUCUGGUAGGGGAGCAUUGUAACAAAGUUGAAGGUGUACUGUGAGGUAUGCUGGAUUGGUUACAAAAGAAAAUGUAGGCAUAAGUAACGAUAAUGCGGGCGAGAAACCCGCACACCGAAAGACCAAGGUUUCCCCGGCCAUGCUAAUCAGCCGGGGUCAGUCGGGACCUAACGCGAACCCGAAAGGGGUAGUGGAUGGACAACAGAUUAAUAUUUCUGUACCUGCUCACGUUAAAAGUGACGGAGAAUUAAAUUUGGUGCGUGCUGACGGAAUAGCACGUUGAAGCAACUUUUAAGGUUGCGAUAGUACACUACGGCUUCGGCUAUUGUGAUAAUCCAGAGGAGAUUCUUCCAAGAAAAGCGAGUGAAGCAGCCCGUACCGUAAACCGACACAGGUGGUUGGGAUGAGGAUUCUAAGGUGCUCGAGAGAUUCAUGGCUAAGGAACUAGGCAAAAUCGACCCGUAACUUCGGGAGAAGGGUCGCCCACAUUUAUUUGUGGGCCGCAGUGAAGAGGUCCAGGCGACUGUUUAUCAAAAACACAGGGCUCUGCGAAAUCGAAAGAUGAAGUAUAGGGCCUGACACCUGCCCGGUGCCGGAAGGUUAAGAGGAGAUGUUAGCUUUUAGCGAAGCAUUGAAUUGAAGCCCCGGUAAACGGC
This 1859-nucleotide ribosomal RNA is filed under the name Leeuwenhoekiella sp. MAR_2009_132. Its description in RNAcentral is "bacterial LSU rRNA". It matches the Rfam family "Bacterial large subunit ribosomal RNA", at positions 1 to 1931 of the family's 2925-position model. The record is from RNAcentral. Lineage: Bacteria; Pseudomonadati; Bacteroidota; Flavobacteriia; Flavobacteriales; Flavobacteriaceae.